AUUGAACGCUGGCGGCAUGCCUUACACAUGCAAGUCGAACGGCAGCGGGCCUUCGGGUGCCGGCGAGUGGCGAACGGGUGAGUAAUGCAUCGGAACGUGCCAUUGAGUGGGGGGAUAACGUAGCGAAAGUUACGCUAAUACCGCAUAUUCUGUGAGCAGGAAAGCAGGGGACCGCAAGGCCUUGCGCUCUUUGAGCGGCCGAUGUCAGAUUAGCUAGUUGGUGAGGUAAAGGCUUACCAAGGCGACGAUCUGUAGCGGGUCUGAGAGGAUGAUCCGCCACACUGGAACUGAGACACGGUCCAGACUCCUACGGGAGGACAGCAGUGGGGAAUUUUGGACAAUGGCGCAAGCCUGAUCCAGCCAUGCCGCGUGAGUGAAG
RNAcentral lists this ribosomal RNA (379 nucleotides) under uncultured bacterium. RNAcentral's name for it is "bacterial SSU rRNA". It matches the Rfam family "Bacterial small subunit ribosomal RNA", at positions 30 to 410 of the family's 1533-position model. The record is from RNAcentral.